AGCGAACGCUGGCGGUAUGCUUAACACAUGCAAGUCGAGCGCGAAAGUGACUUCGGUCAUAAGUAGAGCGGCGGACGGGUGAGUAACACGUGGAUAAUCUGCCUUUAGGACUGGGAUAACCCUGGGAAACUAGGGCUAAUACCGGAUAAGACCACAGGUUCCAUGGAACCAGGGGUAAAAGGCGGCCUUCGGGCUGUCGCCGAAAGAUGAGUCCGCGUCCCAUCAGGUAGUUGGUGAGGAACGGCUCACCAAGCCGAAGACGGGUAGCCGACCUUAGCGGGUGAUCGGCCACACGGGGACUGAGACACGGCCCCGACUCCUACGGGAGGCAGCAGUGGGGAAUCUUGGGCAAUGGGCGCAAGCCUGACCCAGCAAUACCGCGUGAGGGAUGAAGGCCUUC
Molecule: ribosomal RNA, 400 nt
Filed under: uncultured bacterium
Lineage: Bacteria
Description: bacterial SSU rRNA
Rfam family: Bacterial small subunit ribosomal RNA
Source: RNAcentral